Molecule: ribosomal RNA, 910 nt
Filed under: uncultured bacterium
Lineage: Bacteria
Description: bacterial SSU rRNA
Rfam family: Bacterial small subunit ribosomal RNA
Source: RNAcentral
ACGCUGGCGGCAGGCUUAACACAUGCAAGUCGAACGGUAGCAGGAGGAAGCUUGCUUUCUUGCUGACGAGUGGCGGACGGGUGAGUAAUGCUUGGGAAUCUGGCUUAUGGAGGGGGAUAACUACGGGAAACUGUAGCUAAUACCGCGUAGUGUCGAGAAACGAAAGUGCGGGACCGCAAGGCCGCAUGCCAUGAGAUGAGCCCAAGUGGGAUUAGGUAGUUGGUGGGGUAAAGGCCUACCAAGCCUGCGAUCUCUAGCUGGUCUGAGAGGAUGGCCAGCCACACUGGAACUGAGACACGGUCCAGACUCCUACGGGAGGCGGCAGUGGGGAAUAUUGCGCAAUGGGGGGAACCCUGACGCAGCCAUGCCGCGUGAAUGAAGGAGGCCUUCGGGUUGUAAAGUUCUUUCGGUAUUGAGGAAGGAGUGUAUGUUAAUAGCAUACAUUAUUGACGUUAAAUACAGAAGAAGCACCGGCUAACUCCGUGCCAGCAGCCGCGGUAAUACGGAGGGUGCGAGCGUUAAUCGGAAUAACUGGGCGUAAAGGGCACGCAGGCGGUUAUUUAAGUGAGGUGUGAAAGCCCCGGGCUUAACCUGGGAAUUGCAUUUCAGACUGGGUAACUAGAGUACUUUAGGGAGGGGUAGAAUUCCACGUGUAGCGGUGAAAUGCGUAGAGAUGUGGAGGAAUACCGAAGGCGAAGGCAGCCCCUUGGGAAUGUACUGACGCUCAUGUGCGAAAGCGUGGGGAGCAAACAGGAUUAGAUACCCUGGUAGUCCACGCUGUAAACGCUGUCGAUUUGGGGAUUGGGCUUAAAGCUUGGUGCCCGUAGCUAACGUGAUAAAUCGACCGCCUGGGGAGUACGGCCGCAAGGUUAAAACUCAAAUGAAUUGACGGGGGCCCGCACAAGCGGUG